This 446-nucleotide ribosomal RNA is filed under the name uncultured bacterium. RNAcentral's name for it is "partial 16S ribosomal RNA". It matches the Rfam family "Bacterial small subunit ribosomal RNA", at positions 354 to 796 of the family's 1533-position model. The record is from RNAcentral.
GUGAGGAAUAUUGGUCAAUGGGCGCAAGCCUGAACCAGCCAUCCCGCGUGCAGGAAGACGGCGCUAUGCGUUGUAAACUGCUUUUCCAGGGAGAGAAACUUGCGCACGUGUUGCGCAAUUGACGGUACCCUGGGAAUAAGCAUCGGCUAACUCCGUGCCAGCAGCCGCGGUAAUACGGAGGAUGCGAGCGUUAUCCGGAUUCAUUGGGUUUAAAGGGUGCGUAGGCGGACUAUUAAGUCAGUGGUGAAAUCCUGCAGCUUAACUGCAGAACUGCCAUUGAUACUGAUAGCCUUGAGUUUGGUUAAGGUAGGCGGAAUGUGUAAUGUAGCGGUGAAAUGCUUAGAUAUUACACAGAACACCAAUUGCGUAGGCAGCUUACUGAGCCGACACUGACGCUGAGGCACGAAAGCGUGGGGAUCGAACAGGAUUAGAUACCCUAGUAGUCC